GGGCUUUGUUUGCGCAGGAUAGGUGGGAGACGUUGAAAAUUUUCUUGCGGGAAGAUUGGAGCCGUUGGUGAGAUACCACUCUAACAAUGCUAGGAUUCUAACCCUACACCGUUAUCCGGUUAGGGGACAGUUUCAGGUGGUCAGUUUGACUGGGGCGGUCGCCUCCCAAAAGGUAACGGAGGCGUGCAAAGGUUUCCUCAGGCUGGUCGGAAAUCAGUCGUAGAGUGUAAAGGCAUAAGGAAGCUUGAUUGUGAGACCUACAAGUCGAACAAAGACGAAAGUCGGCCUUAGUGAUCCGACGGUUCCGAGUGGAAGGGCCGUCGCUCAACGGAUAAAAGUUACUCUAGGGAUAACAGGCUGAA
Molecule: ribosomal RNA, 362 nt
Filed under: uncultured eukaryote
Lineage: Eukaryota
Description: LSU rRNA
Rfam family: Bacterial large subunit ribosomal RNA
Source: RNAcentral